This 382-nucleotide ribosomal RNA is filed under the name uncultured bacterium. Its description in RNAcentral is "bacterial SSU rRNA". It matches the Rfam family "Bacterial small subunit ribosomal RNA", at positions 917 to 1322 of the family's 1533-position model. The record is from RNAcentral.
GGGUCCGCACAAGCGGUGGAGCAUGUGGUUUAAUUCGAUGAUACGCGAGGAACCUUACCUGGGCUCGAACACUAUUAGACGAUACCUGAAAGGGUAUUUCUCUUCGGAGCUGGUAGUGAGGUGCUGCAUGGUUGUCGUCAGCUCGUGCCGUGAGGUGUUGGGUUAAGUCCCGCAACGAGCGCAACCCACAUCCCUAGUUGCCAGCAGUUCGGCUGGGCACUCUAUGGAAACUGCCCGUGAUAAGCGGGAGGAAGGUGUGGAUGACGUCAAGUCCUCAUGGCCCUUACGGGUUGGGCUACACACGUGCUACAAUGGUAGUGACAAUGGGUUAAUCCCAAAAAGCUAUCUCAGUUCGGAUUGUCGUCUGCAACUCGACGGCAUG